AGCUCAAGAGGUCUCAUGGCUGACAGUGAACAUUCCUGCUGUAGGUAGCUCUCAAAAUGUUCUUGUCCCAGUUGGCUACCGAGGGACAUCAGUCUGGCACCCUAUUUUUGAGCAGGGGGUCCAACCCAGCCUGGAGACACGGCACUCCAAGGAGCAGAGUGCCAGGACCACCACAGCACACACCAUCCUGAGUGCAGACACAGUGUACGUGAGAAUGGCUUCCUGAAGGAAGAGUAACCUAAAGAUACCCUGAUGACUUACUUCCAGUGCUGAAGUUGUUCUUCGUGCUGGCAUUUUAUUCUGAAGCAUUUGCAACUUGGCCCUUGUGUGCCUUCCCAUCACCACAGCAUCUGAGCUGCUCUCAGGAUUUAAUGUAUAUUGUCCUCCUGCUCUGUGAGGCAGAGGUUGCCAAUCUCACCAUUUUACACACAUGGAAAUGAAGCCCAGAGGGAACCAGA
Molecule: long non-coding RNA, 458 nt
Organism: Vidua chalybeata
Lineage: Eukaryota; Metazoa; Chordata; Aves; Passeriformes; Viduidae
Exons: 3
Source: RefSeq, a predicted model, not a curated record